AUUGAACGCUGGCGGCAUGCCUUACACAUGCAAGUCGAACGGUAACAGGUCUUCGGAUGCUGACGAGUGGCGAACGGGUGAGUAAUACAUCGGAACGUGCCCGAUCGUGGGGGAUAACGAGGCGAAAGCUUUGCCAAUACCGCAUACGAUCUACGGAUGAAAGCGGGGGAUCUUCGGACCUCGCGCGGACGGAGCGGCCGAUGGCAGAUUAGGUAGUUGGUGGGAUAAAAGCUUACCAAGCCGACGAUCUGUAGCUGGUCUGAGAGGAUGAUCAGCCACACUGGGACUGAGACACGGCCCAGACUCCUACGGGAGGCAGCAGUGGGGAAUUUUGGACAAUGGGCGAAAGCCUGAUCCAGCCAUGCCGCGUGCAGGAUGAAGGCCUUCGGGUUGUAAACUGCUUUUGUACGGAACGAAAAGCCUCUUUCUAAUAAAGAGGGGUCAUGACGGUACCGUAAGAAUAAGCACCGGCUAACUACGUG
Molecule: ribosomal RNA, 482 nt
Filed under: uncultured bacterium
Lineage: Bacteria
Description: partial 16S ribosomal RNA
Rfam family: Bacterial small subunit ribosomal RNA
Source: RNAcentral